Molecule: long non-coding RNA, 585 nt
Filed under: Struthio camelus australis
Lineage: Eukaryota; Metazoa; Chordata; Aves; Struthioniformes; Struthionidae
Description: lncRNA (ENSSCUG00000019114.1)
Source: RNAcentral
AUGAAUGUGCUAAUUUUUUUGUCAGCUACUAAAGAAAGGCAGCAGAAGUGGAGGACGGUCAGGUAUUGUUCCCGACCACGUGAGACAGCGUGGAACGGUAGGUACUGCUCUGUCCGCGCCUCAGGACUGCGGAUGCUCCGAGGGUGUCACGAGGCAGCGCGUGGACCGCAGGCUGCUGAGGCUGAAACGAAUGCACUGUUAGUACAAACUUCGGCGGGGAUUUCGUGCAUCAUGGAGAAAGACAGUGUCACAGACCUUCUGGAGGAGCUCAGCAGGAGGAGAGACAGCGCUGCACCGACGAUGUGGUUUGAAGAACAGAGAUCUGUGGUGUUCCAGCUUAUUGGAAACUUUUAUGCUCAAGCCAAGGGGAUACUAUAGAUGGAGCUAAUCUGUGAGUAAGUUUUCUGGAGGCCAUUAUGUCUCCUACAGUUUUGGGGUUUUUUUUCUAAGGAAGGCAGCGCUCUGUGUGUGUCUGUGUGUGAGGGAGAGAGAGAAAGAACAUUGCCUAGAGGGUUUCGGUUACCACACUGUCUAAAUAUCCCUUAUUUUUAGUUGGAGUCUUCUGAAUAUGAGAUCCCACUACAG